GAUCUCCAGAGAGGUUCUGCUUAGGAUCUCCAGCCAGAUGAGCAUGCUGAGACAGAGGCAUUGGAAAGAGAAGAGGAGCUGCUACUACAGACACUGAAUGAAAAGCAACAACAAAUGGAGGCUCAAGAGAGAAGCUUCCACGAAACCGUGGCCCAGGUGGAUGAAGAGAGAAACAGAAAUCCAACAGAGAGAGCUACAACGUAUACUGAAGCACAUGGAGAAGGGAACACCUUGACUGAGAAACUUCUGAAUGUCACACAGUUGCCACUAAACUAAAAUUAGAAUCAGGAUGGUUGUAAUAUUGUUGAACCAAAAAGUUUGCAAAGAUGAAAUAAACUGCAAAGACAAUGUUUCCCUACAGAGUGAUUCAAUUCCUGCUGAAUAUAGUAAUAAUGGUGAGUAUGAUUCUUACAUGGAUUCUUUAUUGAAAGCAUGGUAACUG
This is a long non-coding RNA of Myotis myotis, 442 nucleotides long. RefSeq lists it as uncharacterized. The record is from RefSeq and is a predicted model, not a curated record. Lineage: Eukaryota; Metazoa; Chordata; Mammalia; Chiroptera; Vespertilionidae. The transcript has 3 exons.